UCUCCGUAGGUGAACCUGCGGAGGGAUCAUUACAGAGUUCCCGCCCUCGCGGGUAGAUCUCCCACCCACUGUUAUCGUUACUGUGUUGCUUUGGCGGGCCGCCGGGCCCCGCUCGGCCGCCGGCCCCGGCUGGCGCGCGCCCGCCAGAGGCCCAGCAAACUCUGAAUGUUAGUGUCGUCUGAGUACUAUAUAAUAGUUAAAACUUUCAACAGCGGAUCUCUUGGUUCUG
Molecule: unclassified non-coding RNA, 229 nt
Filed under: plant metagenome
Description: partial contains small subunit ribosomal RNA, internal transcribed spacer 1, and 5.8S ribosomal RNA
Source: RNAcentral